ACCUGCCCAUCAGAGGGGGAUAACAUUCGGAAACGGAUGCUAAAACCGCAUAGGUUCUUGAGUCGCAUGACUCGGGAAGGAAAAGAGGCUUCGGCUUCUGCUGAUGGAUGGACCCGCGGUGCAUUAGCUAGUUGGUGAGGUAACGGCUCACCAAGGCCGUGAUGCAUAGCCGACCUGAGAGGGUGAUCGGCCACAUUGGGACUGAGACACGGCCCAAACUCCUACGGGAGGCAGCAGUAGGGAAUCUUCCGCAAUGGACGCAAGUCUGACGGAGCAACGCCGCGUGAGUGAAGAAGGAUUUCGGUUCGUAAAACUCUGUUGUUAGAGAAGAACAGCGCAUAGAGUAACUGUUAUGCGUGUGACGGUAUCUAACCAGAAAGCCACGGCUAACUACGUGCCAGCAGCCGCGGUAAUACGUAGGUGGCAAGCGUUGUCCGGAUUUAUUGGGCGUAAAGCGAGCGCAGGCGGUCAAUUAAGUCUGAUGUGAAAGCCCCCGGCUCAACCGGGGAGGGUCAUUGGAAACUGGUUGACUUGAGUGCAGAAGAGGAGAGUGGAAUUCCAUGUGUAGCGGUGAAAUGCGUAGAUAUAUGGAGGAACACCAGUGGCGAAGGCGACUCUCUGGUCUGUAACUGACGCUGAGGCUCGAAAGCGUGGGUAGCAAACAGGAUUAGAUACCCUGGUAGUCCACGCCGUAAACGAUGAGUGCUAAGUGUUGGAGGGUUUCCGCCCUUCAGUGCUGCAGUUAACGCAUUAAGCACUCCGCCUGGGGAGUACGACCGCAAGGUUAAACUCAAAGGAAUUGACGG
RNAcentral lists this ribosomal RNA (806 nucleotides) under uncultured Granulicatella sp. RNAcentral describes it as "bacterial SSU rRNA". It matches the Rfam family "Bacterial small subunit ribosomal RNA", at positions 124 to 916 of the family's 1533-position model. The record is from RNAcentral. Lineage: Bacteria; Bacillati; Bacillota; Bacilli; Lactobacillales; Carnobacteriaceae.